GAUGAACGCUGGCGGCGUGCUUAACACAUGCAAGUCGAACGAAGCACUUGAAACGGAUUCUUCGGAUGAAGUUUCCUGUGACUGAGUGGCGGACGGGUGAGUAACGCGUGGGUAACCUGCCUCAUACAGGGGGAUAACAGUUAGAAAUGGCUGCUAAUACCGCAUAAGCGCACGGCAUCGCAUGAUGCAGUGUGGAAAACUCCGGUGGUAUGAGAUGGACCCGCGUUGGAUUAGCUAGUUGGCAGGGUAACGGCCUACCAAGGCGACGAUCCAUAGCCGGCCUGGGAGGGUGGAUGGGCACAUUGGGACGGAGACACGGCCCAGACUCCUACGGGAGGCAGCAGUGGGGAAUAUUGCACAGUGGGGGAAACCCUGAUGCAGCGACGCCGCGUGAGCGAGGAAGUAUUUCGGUAUGUAAAGCUCUAUCAGCAGGGAAGAAAAUGACGGUACCUGACUAAGAAGCCCCGGCUAACUACGUGCCAGCCGCCGCCGUAA
Molecule: ribosomal RNA, 495 nt
Filed under: uncultured bacterium
Lineage: Bacteria
Description: partial 16S ribosomal RNA
Rfam family: Bacterial small subunit ribosomal RNA
Source: RNAcentral